UAUAGCCUGCUCCUAUCCCUUAAACAUUCUGAUAUUGGUCCUUUUAAGGUGACUAUUCUACAGACUAUAUUGAACUUUGCAGUAAAGAUAGUGGCGUUACCGAAAAUCAAUGAAAGACUGGCCAAUGGAGUUCCACUACCCAGAGUGGAUCACUUAAGCUUUGUAAAUCCUCUUAUUAAGGUGAACCAGGAUGUUUUGGUGAUUGCAACUGACAUCCGUUAUGGGUCCUAACCAGCUGUUGUUUACAACAAACACCAUGAUGGAAACCAGACCAGACCUGGAACAAUUCAACCAUUUCUUAUGCUGAGAAUUGCUUACACCUGGCCUUAGAUUAAAGUUUUGUGCAUUUUCUGUCAAAACAACUUUAAUUUCUAAUUCUAUGCUUUUCAUCAAACAAGACACUCAAUGAAAAAGAAAGCAACAAGUAAAAGUCAUUCCAGUCACUGUUGCUUUGUCAUCAAAUAAGAGACAAAACAAAGCCACAAUUUUUUAUACAUUCAUGGCGUGUAGACAUCGCUGGCUAGUCCAGCAUUUAUUGCCCAUUCGAAUUGCCCAUGAGAAGAUGCUGGACAGCCACCUUCUUGAACAGAUGCAGUAAUUGCAGGAGUAGGGGUCCCGUACUUUGCAGGGUAAAUGAACUGUUUCCAAACAGCAUUUACUCUCCCUAUUAGUCAAUAUGUGGCUGAUUUACUGAGUGUAUUUGUGAAGUUGUUGCUGUUUCCUGUGUGGCUCCCUGUUAUUUCUGGUUUCUCUUUUAAAUCAAAUACAGUCUGUGGCAAAUAUA
Rhincodon typus (whale shark) is the source of this 784-nucleotide long non-coding RNA. RefSeq lists it as uncharacterized. The record is from RefSeq and is a predicted model, not a curated record. The transcript is spliced from 4 exons. Lineage: Eukaryota; Metazoa; Chordata; Chondrichthyes; Orectolobiformes; Rhincodontidae.